UAGUCCUAGUGAUCUGAUUACUUUUCGUUUUUAUCAUAAAGAAUGAUAAUUAUUUAAAAGUG
This 62-nucleotide ribosomal RNA is filed under the name Succinea caduca. Its description in RNAcentral is "partial 16S small subunit ribosomal RNA". Lineage: Eukaryota; Metazoa; Mollusca; Gastropoda; Stylommatophora; Succineidae. The record is from RNAcentral.